AUGAACAUUAACAUCCAAUUUCAAAGGUACGGCUUGUUUCCUUCGUCAAAUUGUGAUCAAGUACCAACAUUGACUGGGGUUGUUAUACUAUCAGUUACCAUGACAAGUAGUGCAAUGUGCAAUGUGAUUUCUGCCCCCCAUUGGUAUUGCUAUUGGACAAGACCGAUCCUCAGCUUUACUAAACUACAGGGUGGCUCAUUAAAUGUCCUCGAGUUCAGUUAUUCUCCCCUUAAUACUAGAUCCCAUUCACCUCUAGACUAG
Molecule: non-coding RNA, 261 nt
Organism: Vicia faba (fava bean)
Lineage: Eukaryota; Viridiplantae; Streptophyta; Magnoliopsida; Fabales; Fabaceae
Source: the annotation of a GenBank genome assembly